Molecule: unclassified non-coding RNA, 253 nt
Filed under: Hevea brasiliensis (rubber tree)
Lineage: Eukaryota; Viridiplantae; Streptophyta; Magnoliopsida; Malpighiales; Euphorbiaceae
Source: RNAcentral
AGUUGGAAUAUUUUAAAUUAUUACACUAUAAAUGCACUAGCCGCGUGGUACCUAAUAAGCCUUUACUCUUUAGUACCUAAUAGCUACAAGCUAGCAGUCAUUAGGGAGGAGCAUUCUUGCUGCUUUAAGCUGUCUGCGACAUGAGCUAUUACACCAGCACCAGCAUUGUGAAGCCAUUCAUUUUUCACAUGUAUGUUGUUAUGGGCGAAAAAAGGCCAAAAUGCUGAGUGGAAGCUGACAUCGACUUUCUUCC